Molecule: ribosomal RNA, 515 nt
Filed under: Mischocyttarus cearensis
Lineage: Eukaryota; Metazoa; Arthropoda; Insecta; Hymenoptera; Vespidae
Description: partial 16S ribosomal RNA
Rfam family: Bacterial large subunit ribosomal RNA (bases 389-515)
Source: RNAcentral
GUCUUAUUGAAUUUAAAAUAAUAAGUUUGUUCUGCCCAUUGAAUUAAAUAUUUUAAAAGGCUGCAGUAAUUUAACUGUACAAAGGUAGCAUAAUCAAUAGUUUUUUAAUUGAAAACUUGAAUGAAAGAAUUGAUAAAAUAUUAGUUGUCUCAAAUUUAAAUAAUUGAAUUUAUAUUUAAAGUUAAAAUUCUUUAAUUAAUUUAUUAGACGAUAAGACCCUAAGAAUUUUAUAAUUUAUUUAUUAUUUAUUAAAUUAGUUUAAUUUAAAAUUUAUAAUUUAAUUAUUUUAUUGGGAGGGUAAUUAAAAAUUUAAACUUUAAUUAAAUUUAAACUUUGAUAAAUGAGUUUAAUGAUUAUUAUUAUAGUUAUUAGAAUAAAUUACCUUAGGGAUAACAGCGUAAUAAUUUUGGAAAGUUCAUAUUGAUAAAAUUGGUUGCGACCUCGAUGUUGAAUUAAAAUAAAAAUUAAAUGGAGAAGUUUAAGGUUUUAGUCUGUUCGACUAUUAAAAUUUUACA